UUACCUUUCUCGGCCUUUUGGCUAAGAUCAAGUGUAGUAUCUGUUCUUAUCAGUUUAAUAUUUGAUAUGUGAGUCAAUGAGUCACACGAUAUUAAAUUAAUUUCUUUAAGGAAGGGAGAGAGUUCACUAUUGUAGCUUGCUAUUGGAGCUCUCGAGUGUCGCCCAAGUGCUGCACUACUGCUCGGGCUGGCGCACCCCAC
This is a small nuclear RNA of Pyrus x bretschneideri (Chinese white pear), 200 nucleotides long. RefSeq annotates it as U2 spliceosomal RNA. NCBI's taxonomy places the organism in Eukaryota, Viridiplantae, Streptophyta, Magnoliopsida, Rosales, Rosaceae. The transcript has a single exon. The record is from RefSeq and is a predicted model, not a curated record.